GAGUUAUGGCUCAGGAUGAACGCUGGCGGCGUGCCUAACACAUGCAAGUCGAGCGAUUCACUUCGGUGAAGAGCGGCGGACGGGUGAGUAACGCGUGGGUAACCUGCCUCAUACACAUGGAUAACAUACCGAAAGGUAUGCUAAUACAGGAUGAUAUAGGGGAUUCGCAUGGAUUUCUUAUCAAAGCUCCGGCGGUAUGAGAUGGACCCGCGUCUGAUUAGCUAGUUGGUAAGGUAAUGGCUUACCAAGGCGACGAUCAGUAGCCGACCUGAGAGGGUGAUCGGCCACAUUGGAACUGAGACACGGUCCAAACUCCUACGGGAGGCAGCAGUGGGGAAUAUUGCACAAUGGGCGAAAGCCUGAUUGCAGCAACGCCGCGUGAGUGAUGAAGGCCUUCGGGUCGUAAAACUCUGUCCUCAAGGAAGAUAAUGACGGUACUUGAGGAGGAAGCCCCGGCUAACUACGUGCCAGCCGCGGC
Molecule: ribosomal RNA, 478 nt
Filed under: uncultured bacterium
Lineage: Bacteria
Description: bacterial SSU rRNA
Rfam family: Bacterial small subunit ribosomal RNA
Source: RNAcentral